RNAcentral lists this ribosomal RNA (354 nucleotides) under uncultured bacterium. Its description in RNAcentral is "partial 16S ribosomal RNA". It matches the Rfam family "Bacterial small subunit ribosomal RNA", at positions 338 to 706 of the family's 1533-position model. The record is from RNAcentral.
CCUACGGGAGGCAGCAGUGGGGAAUAUUGGGCAAUGGAGGCGACUCUGACCCAGCAACGCCGCGUGAAUGAUGAAGGUCUUCGGAUUGUAAAAUUCUGUGUUGGAGGGUGAACACAAUGACAGUACCCCAAUAUCAAGCCACGCCUAACUAGGUGCCAGCAGCAGCGGUAAUCCGUCGGGGGCAAGCAUUAUCCGGAAUGACUGGGCGUAAAGGUUGCGUAGGUGUUUUAGUAAGUUGGCGGGGUAAGUCCGGGACUCAACCUCGGCGCAACCGCGAAAACUAUUAGACUAGAGUGCAGGAUGGGUAAGGGGAAGUCGUAGUGUAGCGGUGGAAUGCGGAGAGAAUAGGAGGAA